GCCCAUGUGGCUCAGUGGCAGAGCACUCCCUUGGUAAGGGAGAGGUCACCAGUUCGAUCCUGGUCGCGGGCUCCA
RNAcentral lists this transfer RNA (75 nucleotides) under Betaproteobacteria bacterium. RNAcentral describes it as "tRNA-Thr". It matches the Rfam family "tRNA". From Rfam's summary of the family: Transfer RNA (tRNA) molecules are approximately 80 nucleotides in length. The record is from RNAcentral. Lineage: Bacteria; Pseudomonadati; Pseudomonadota; Betaproteobacteria.